Mus musculus (house mouse) is the source of this 694-nucleotide long non-coding RNA. RefSeq annotates it as predicted gene, 31776. NCBI's taxonomy places the organism in Eukaryota, Metazoa, Chordata, Mammalia, Rodentia, Muridae. The transcript has 2 exons. The record is from RefSeq and is a predicted model, not a curated record.
GUGUGUGUGUGUGUGUGUGUGUGUUAUGACUGAGUGUCUGGCACUGGACAACCAAUUGGUGUGCUGUUUCCUGGGGAAUAUCACCUCCCCCGCUCCCACCUUUCCUCACUUGCCUAGAGCUAGCUCUUUGUUGAUGAGGCCUUAUGGGCUUUUCCCUAUCCACUUUGGCAUGUCCAUUUUUCAGCUCACCUUUGGGAAGUCAUGCUAUUGACACUCUAAGGGCACAGUGUCUGAAUCCCUAAUAACAAUUUAUAAACAUCUGUCCUUUAGCCAUAGAUAAGUAUAAAUGUUAUCCCUCAUCAAGGAAAAUUUUCUUUGCCACAGGUGGAGACUACUUCCAGAAAACCAUAACCUUUGAAAACUCAGAGCUGCAGAACCUAGCCCCGAUGGAUACAUCUUUUAUCUUUAAACAAGAAAAAGGCAAACUGUGAAAUAGUGGAGGAAAAGCCUCAAUCGGCAGAAGAGAGAAGGGAUUGCAGGACUGGAAACUACAUCUCCUGCACAACUGAAGCGAGGAGCUGUAUCUCUGUACUUCUCUCCCUCCCCUCCCUUUCUCUCUCUCAGCUUCUUUUGGAAAAGGCCAUUUAACCCCCCUUCCUAGUGGAAUGUUUCCUGUGGGUCUCAGGGCAGCUCCUUUUGUUUUUCUGCUUCCCUAAUGGGUAUGUGUGAUAUAAUAAAAAGAUUGUUCUUUCUA